RNAcentral lists this ribosomal RNA (394 nucleotides) under uncultured bacterium. Its description in RNAcentral is "partial 16S ribosomal RNA". It matches the Rfam family "Bacterial small subunit ribosomal RNA", at positions 523 to 917 of the family's 1533-position model. The record is from RNAcentral.
AUACGUAGGUGACAAGCGUUAUCCGGAUUUACUGGGCGUAAAGGGCGUGUAGGCGGUCUUGCAAGUCAGAAGUGAAAUUCCUGAGCUCAACUCGGGCGCUGCUUCUGAAACUGCAGGACUUGAGUGCUGGAGGGGAUAGCGGAAUUCCUAGUGGAGCGGUAAAAUGCGCAGAUAUUAGGAAGAACACCGGUGGCGAAGGCGGCUAUCUGGACAGUAACUGACACUGAGGUACGAAAGUGUGGGGAGCAAACAGGAUUAGAUACCCUGGUAGUCCACACCGUAAACGAUGAGCACUAGGUGUCGGGCUCGCAAGAGUUCGGUGCCGCAGUUAACGCAUUAAGUGCUCCGCCUGGGGAGUACGUACGCAAGUAUGAAACUCAAAUGAAUUGACGGG